Molecule: ribosomal RNA, 497 nt
Filed under: uncultured bacterium
Lineage: Bacteria
Description: partial 16S ribosomal RNA
Rfam family: Bacterial small subunit ribosomal RNA
Source: RNAcentral
AUUGAACGCUGCGGCAUGCCUUACACAUGCAAGUCGAACGGUAACAGGUCUUCGGAUGCUGACGAGUGGCGAACGGGUGAGUAAUACAUCGGAACGUGCCUAGUAGUGGGGGAUAACUACUCGAAAGAGUGGCUAAUACCGCAUGAGAUCUAUGGAUGAAAGCAGGGGAUCGCAAGACCUUGUGCUACUAGAGCGGCCGAUGGCAGAUUAGGUAGUUGGUGGGAUAAAAGCUUACCAAGCCGACGAUCUGUAGCUGGUCUGAGAGGACGAUCAGCCACACUGGGACUGAGAAACGGCCCAGACUCCUACGGGAGGCAGCAGUGGGGAAUUUUGGACAAUGGGCGCAAGCCUGAUCCAGCAAUGCCGCGUGCAGGAUGAAGGCCUUCGGGUUGUAAACUGCUUUUGUACGGAACGAAAAGCCCCGGGUUAAUACCCUGGGGUCAUGACGGUACCGUAAGAAUAAGCACCGGCUAACUACGUGCCAGCCGCCGCGGUAA